GGAUUACAGAGGCUACAGCUAUGAGCGUGUGGAUGGUUCUGUGAGAGGAGAAGAGAGACACUUGGCCAUUAAGAACUUUGGACAGCAGCCCAUUUUCGUUUUUCUUCUGAGUACUAGGGCAGGUGAGGUUAUUAUUGAAUGUAAAACAAGGUACUGGACUUCAAGUGUGGUGCUCUUUUCUAUCCAGCCUGCCAAACUGUCAUCUCACCAAAGAAUGACUUUAAUCCUCAGAAUGACUUGCAAGCAGCUGCCAGGGCUCAUCGAAUUGGCCAAAACAAGUCUGUUAAAGUUAUUCGGCUGAUUGGUCGAGACACUGUGGAAGAAAUAGUCUAUAGGAAAGCAGCCUCCAAACUGCAGCUCACCAACAUGAUCAUAGAAGGAGGCCAUUUUACUCUGGGAGCCCAGAAACCUGCUGCCGAUGC
Molecule: small RNA, 422 nt
Filed under: Pongo abelii (Sumatran orangutan)
Lineage: Eukaryota; Metazoa; Chordata; Mammalia; Primates; Hominidae
Description: processed transcript
Source: RNAcentral